This 780-nucleotide non-coding RNA is filed under the name Psilochorema bidens. Lineage: Eukaryota; Metazoa; Arthropoda; Insecta; Trichoptera; Hydrobiosidae. The record is from RNAcentral.
GUUUUUUCUAGCUUAUUAUUUUAUUAAAUUAUUAUUUUAAAUAUAAAUUUUUAUUGGAGUAUAUAAUUAUAUUAAAAAUUUAAUUAUAUAAUAAAAUAUUUAUAGUAUUUAAAUUUAUAAUUUAAAGAAAUUUAGAUUUAGUAAUUAAUAAUUUUAUUGACAAAAUUUGUGCCAGCAGUCGCGGUUAUACAGAUAAUAAAAUAAAAAAUUAUUUAAUUUAAAAUUUUUAUUAAUUUGUUUAAUAAAAAUAAUAAUUAAUUAAGUUAAAUUUUAAUUAAAAAUAAAUUAUAUAUAAAUAUAAUUAUUUAAUGAAAUUUAAAUAUAAACUAGGAUUAGAUACCCUAUUAUUUAAAAUUAAUUAAUUAAAAAUUUAAGUAUUAAUAGAUAUAUUCUUUAAACUUAAAGAAUUUGGCAGUAUUUUAUUCUUUUUAAAGGAACCUGUUUAUUAAUUGAUAAUCCACGAUUAACUUUACUUAAUUUAAGAAUUUAUAUAUCGUUGUUAUAAAAAUAUAUUUAAAAAUAUUAAAAUUUUAAAAUUUCAAAAAAAAAUUAAAUCAAAUCAAGAUAUAAUUUAUAAUUAAGAAUUUAAUGGGUUAUAAUAAAAUAAUUUAAAAGGAUUAUAAUUUUAAAAUAUUAUAUGAAAGUAGAUUUAAUUGUAAUUUAAAUUAUUUAAUUUAAAUGAUUUUUGCUCUAAAGUAUGUACAUAUUGCCCGUCACUCUCAAUAUUAAUUUGAGAUAAGUCGUAACAUAGUAGAGAUACUGGAAAGUGUUUCUAGAAAA